Molecule: ribosomal RNA, 253 nt
Filed under: uncultured bacterium
Lineage: Bacteria
Description: partial 16S ribosomal RNA
Rfam family: Bacterial small subunit ribosomal RNA
Source: RNAcentral
UACGGAGGGGGCUAGCGUUGUUCGGAAUUAUUGGGCGUAAAGAGCUCGUAGGCGGUUUGUCGCGUCUGCUGUGAAAACUCGGGGCUUAACUCCGGGCCUGCAGUGGGUACGGGCAGACUAGAGUGCGGUAGGGGAGACUGGAAUUCCUGGUGUAGCGGUGAAAUGCGCAGAUAUCAGGAGGAACACCGGUGGCGAAGGCGGGUCUCUGGGCCGUAACUGACGCUGAGGAGCGAAAGCGUGGGGAGCGAACAGG